This 71-nucleotide transfer RNA is filed under the name Ornithodoros turicata. Its description in RNAcentral is "transfer RNA glycine (anticodon GCC)". It matches the Rfam family "tRNA". Rfam says of the family: Transfer RNA (tRNA) molecules are approximately 80 nucleotides in length. Their secondary structure includes four short double-helical elements and three loops (D, anti-codon, and T loops). Lineage: Eukaryota; Metazoa; Arthropoda; Arachnida; Ixodida; Argasidae. The record is from RNAcentral. RNAcentral also lists the same sequence under 1 other name.
GCGUCGGUGGUUCAGUGGUAGAAUACUCGCCUGCCACGCGGGUGGCCCGCGUUCGAUUCCCGGCCGACGCA